This 543-nucleotide long non-coding RNA is filed under the name Piliocolobus tephrosceles (Ugandan red Colobus). RNAcentral describes it as "lncRNA (ENSPTEG00000022480.1)". Lineage: Eukaryota; Metazoa; Chordata; Mammalia; Primates; Cercopithecidae. The record is from RNAcentral.
GUGGAAGCUAUGUAAGGACUGGAGAAACGCGUGUUCUCGUGCAAACAAACCCCAAAACAAAACAAGAGAUACUGCCUUUGGACUGGACUUUGUCCAGCCUGGAGUCACAGUGCCAGUCAAGAGCCACUCCAGAAUACUUGUGCCUGGAUCUUCACUAGGGUGUGACCUUUUAGCACGUCCGGCCUCUUCUGUGAUCCUGAAGUCACGUUUGACACUGGCGGCAUCCACAUCCGUUGAAUGGAAAGCUUCUCCAAGCAGGGGCCUCUCCCUUCCUCUUUACAGAGCCCAGCAUGCAGGAAGUGUGCAGCAUGUGUCUGUUCCUAGAUGGACAAAUGCAUCCUUGAACGAGGAGCUGGCACCUCUCUCUUGAAGAUCUGUUUAUUUCAUGUCAUGCAACUUUGGCAAGAUGUUUAUUCUUAUAGGCAAAAUUCACAGAAACCAAAAGCAUGUUCUUAAACACCCCGAGGCUCUGGGACUUCAUUGUUCUGUGCCACAGAUCAGAGGAAAGUAAUUUUGAAAGGAUCACAGGUUAUUGGAUUGUGU